Molecule: ribosomal RNA, 320 nt
Filed under: uncultured bacterium
Lineage: Bacteria
Description: bacterial SSU rRNA
Rfam family: Bacterial small subunit ribosomal RNA
Source: RNAcentral
UGACGGUACCUGACUAAGAAGCCCCGGCUAACUACGUGCCAGCAGCCGCGGUAAUACGUAGGGGGCAAGCGUUAUCCGGAUUUACUGGGUGUAAAGGGAGCGUAGACGGAGAAGCAAGUCUGAUGUGAAAGGCAUGGGCUCAACCCGUGGACUGCAUUGGAAACUGUUUUUCUUGAGUGCCGGAGGGGUAAGCGGAAUUCCUAGUGUAGCGGUGAAAUGCGUAGAUAUUAGGAGGAACACCAGUGGCGAAGGCGGCUUACUGGACGGUAACUGACGUUGAGGCUCGAAAGCGUGGGGAGCAAACAGGAUUAGAUACCCUG